AAAUUGAAGAGUUUGAUCAUGGCUCAGAUUGAACGCUGGCGGCAGGCCUAACACAUGCAAGUCGAGCGGAAACGAGUUAUCUGAACCUUCGGGGGACGAUAACGGCGUCGAGCGGCGGACGGGUGAGUAAUGCCUAGGAAAUUGCCCUGAUGUGGGGGAUAACCAUUGGAAACGAUGGCUAAUACCGCAUGAUGCCUACGGGCCAAAGAGGGGGACCUUCGGGCCUCUCGCGUCAGGAUAUGCCUAGGUGGGAUUAGCUAGUUGGUGAGGUAAGGGCUCACCAAGGCGACGAUCCCUAGCUGGUCUGAGAGGAUGAUCAGCCACACUGGAACUGAGACACGGUCCAGACUCCUACGGGAGGCAGCAGUGGGGAAUAUUGCACAAUGGGCGCAAGCCUGAUGCAGCCAUGCCGCGUGUGUGAAGAAGGCCUUCGGGUUGUAAAGCACUUUCAGUCGUGAGGAAGGUAGUGUAGUUAAUAGCUGCAUUAUUUGACGUUAGCGACAGAAGAAGCACCGGCUAACUCCGUGCCAGCAGCCGCGGUAAUACGGAGGGUGCGAGCGUUAAUCGGAAUUACUGGGCGUAAAGCGCAUGCAGGUGGUUUGUUAAGUCAGAUGUGAAAGCCCGGGGCUCAACCUCGGAAUAGCAUUUGAAACUGGCAGACUAGAGUACUGUAGAGGGGGGUAGAAUUUCAGGUGUAGCGGUGAAAUGCGUAGAGAUCUGAAGGAAUACCGGUGGCGAAGGCGGCCCCCUGGACAGAUACUGACACUCAGAUGCGAAAGCGUGGGGAGCAAACAGGAUUAGAUACCCUGGUAGUCCACGCCGUAAACGAUGUCUACUUGGAGGUUGUGGCCUUGAGCCGUGGCUUUCGGAGCUAACGCGUUAAGUAGACCGCCUGGGGAGUACGGUCGCAAGAUUAAAACUCAAAUGAAUUGACGGGGGCCCGCACAAGCGGUGGAGCAUGUGGUUUAAUUCGAUGCAACGCGAAGAACCUUACCUACUCUUGACAUCCAGAGAACUUUCCAGAGAUGGAUUGGUGCCUUCGGGAACUCUGAGACAGGUGCUGCAUGGCUGUCGUCAGCUCGUGUUGUGAAAUGUUGGGUUAAGUCCCGCAACGAGCGCAACCCUUAUCCUUGUUUGCCAGCGAGUAAUGUCGGGAACUCCAGGGAGACUGCCGGUGAUAAACCGGAGGAAGGUGGGGACGACGUCAAGUCAUCAUGGCCCUUACGAGUAGGGCUACACACGUGCUACAAUGGCGCAUACAGAGGGCGGCCAACUUGCGAAAGUGAGCGAAUCCCAAAAAGUGCGUCGUAGUCCGGAUUGGAGUCUGCAACUCGACUCCAUGAAGUCGGAAUCGCUAGUAAUCGUGGAUCAGAAUGCCACGGUGAAUACGUUCCCGGGCCUUGUACACACCGCCCGUCACACCAUGGGAGUGGGCUGCAAAAGAAGUAGGUAGUUUAACCUUCGGGGGGACGCUUACCACUUUGUGGUUCAUGACUGGGGUGAAGUCGUAACAAGGUAGCGCUAGGGGAACCUGGCGCUGGAUCACCUCCUUAAACGAUGAU
RNAcentral lists this ribosomal RNA (1562 nucleotides) under Vibrio alginolyticus. Its description in RNAcentral is "bacterial SSU rRNA". It matches the Rfam family "Bacterial small subunit ribosomal RNA". RNAcentral also lists the same sequence under 1 other name. The record is from RNAcentral. Lineage: Bacteria; Pseudomonadati; Pseudomonadota; Gammaproteobacteria; Vibrionales; Vibrionaceae.